UAGGGAAUCUUCGGCAAUGGACGAAAGUCUGACCGAGCAACGCCGCGUGAGUGAAGAAGGUUUUCGGAUCGUAAAACUCUGUUGUUAGAGAAGAACAAGGACGUUAGUAACUGAACGUCCCCUGACGGUAUCUAACCAGAAAGCCACGGCUAACUACGUGCCAGCAGCCGCGGUAAUACGUAGGUGGCAAGCGUUGUCCGGAUUUAUUGGGCGUAAAGCGAGCGCAGGCGGUUUCUUAAGUCUGAUGUGAAAGCACCCGGCUCAACCGGGGAGGGUCAUUGGAAACUGGGAGACUUGAGUGCAGAAGAGGAGAGUGGAAUUCCAUGUGUAGCGGUGAAAUGCGUAGAUAUAUGGAGGAACACCAGUGGCGAAGGCGGCUCUCUGGUCUGUAACUGACGCUGAGGCUCGAAAGCGUGGGGAGCAAACAGG
This 429-nucleotide ribosomal RNA is filed under the name Gemmatimonadota bacterium. RNAcentral's name for it is "Gemmatimonadetes bacterium partial 16S ribosomal RNA". It matches the Rfam family "Bacterial small subunit ribosomal RNA", at positions 355 to 776 of the family's 1533-position model. Lineage: Bacteria; Pseudomonadati; Gemmatimonadota. The record is from RNAcentral.